GAGGCUUAACACAUGCAAGUCGAGGGGCAGCAUGGUCUUAGCUUGCUAAGGCCGAUGGCGACCGGCGCACGGGUGAGUAACACGUAUCCAACCUGCCGUCUACUCUUGGACAGCCUUCUGAAAGGAAGAUUAAUACAAGAUGGCAUCAUGAGUCCGCAUGUUCACAUGAUUAAAGGUAUUCCGGUAGACGAUGGGGAUGCGUUCCAUUAGAUAGUAGGCGGGGUAACGGCCCACCUAGUCUUCGAUGGAUAGGGGUUCUGAGAGGAAGGUCCCCCACAUUGGAACUGAGACACGGUCCAAACUCCUACGGGAGGCAGCAGUGAGGAAUAUUGGUCAAUGGGCGAGAGCUUGAACCAGCCAAGUAGCGUGAAGGAUGACUGCCCUAUGGGUUGUAAACUUCUUUUAUAAAGGAAUAAAGUCGGGUAUGGAUACCCGUUUGCAUGUACUUUAUGAAUAAGGAUCGGCUAACUCCGUGCCAGCAGCCGCGGUAAUACGGAGGAUCCGAGCGUUAUCCGGAUUUAUUGGGUUUAAAGGGAGCGUAGAUGGAUGUUUAAGUCAGUUGUGAAAGUUUGCGGCUCAACCGUAAAAUUGCAGUUGAUACUGGAUAUCUUGAGUGCAGUUGAGGCAGGCGGAAUUCGUGGUGUAGCGGUGAAAUACUUAGAUAUCACGAAGAACUCCGAUUGCGAAGGCAGCCUGCUAAGCUGCAACUGACAUUGAGGCUCGAAAGUGUGGGUAUCAAACAGGAUUAGAUACCCUGGUAGUCCACACGGUAAACGAUGAAUACUCGCUGUUUGCGAUAUACUGCAAGCGGCCAAGCGAAAGCGUUAAGUAUUCCACCUGGGGAGUACGCCGGCAACGGUGAAACUCAAAGGAAUUGACGGGGGCCCGCACAAGCGGAGGAACAUGUGGUUUAAUUCGAUGAUACGCGAGGAACCUUACCCGGGCUUAAAUUGCAGAUGAAUUACGGUGAAAGCCGUAAGCCGCAAGGCAUCUGUGAAGGUGCUGCAUGGUUGUCGUCAGCUCGUGCCGUGAGGUGUCGGCUUAAGUGCCAUAACGAGCGCAACCCUUGUUGUCAGUUACUAACAGGUUCCGCUGAGGACUCUGACAAGACUGCCAUCGUAAGAUGUGAGGAAGGUGGGGAUGACGUCAAAUCAGCACGGCCCUUACGUCCGGGGCUACACACGUGUUACAAUGGGGGGUACAGAGGGCCGCUACCACGCGAGUGGAUGCCAAUCCCCAAAACCUCUCUCAGUUCGGACUGGAGUCUGCAACCCGACUCCACGAAGCUGGAUUCGCUAGUAAUCGCGCAUCAGCCACGGCGCGGUGAAUACGUUCCCGGGCCUUGUACACACCGCCCGUCAAGCCAUGGGAGCCGGGGGUACCUGAAGUGCGUAACCGCGAGGAGCGCCCUAGGGUAAAACUGGUGACU
RNAcentral lists this ribosomal RNA (1429 nucleotides) under uncultured bacterium. RNAcentral's name for it is "bacterial SSU rRNA". It matches the Rfam family "Bacterial small subunit ribosomal RNA". The record is from RNAcentral.